UGAGAACACUGUACCUACAGAAGGGUUGCCCCAGGAGCCAGCUAGCAGCAUGGGGGUGGAAGCUCCACAUGUUAAACACAGUCUGCAGCUAUGUUGCUCCCAGACCCUUUGACACUGCUGCUGGGUGACAGAGAAACAAGCCUUCAUCAGAUGACAAGUAGUCUGCAGGCUGUAGAACUAGUGAAGGGAAACUCCCCUACAAAAAUCAAGUCUGUGCAAGAACUACAGUUUUAAAAGGUGCAUAGGAGAUGAAGAUGAUCUUACGAGGGGAAGAUAAGUAUGUAUAUGCAGUUGAAUUGGGAUUAGGACAAUAAGAAGAAACCUGUGCAAGUUUUUCUCUUUUGAAAUUGGGUGUCAAACACUUGGAGCUUUCAGUGAGUAUUCUUUGACUUGGACACAAUCAGAACCUAGAAUAAAUGCUUGGUGAACGAUGCAGUAUCUUACUGUAAAAUUUUUGCAGAAAUACAAUUGAUUAUAAACUGCAUAAAAUAAAACAAGUCCAAAUUUUUAUACCUGCUAUUAUGUACCACCCCACUCACAGUUGCCAAACAAGCUGUUUUUUCACCAUUUUAUAGCUUACAGUUGCCUGUGCAGCUAUAAUUCUC
Molecule: long non-coding RNA, 605 nt
Filed under: Gallus gallus (chicken)
Lineage: Eukaryota; Metazoa; Chordata; Aves; Galliformes; Phasianidae
Description: long non-coding RNA NONGGAT009246
Source: RNAcentral